CGAUUAUGGCUCAGAUUGAACGCUGGCGGUAUGCUUAACACAUGCAAGUCGAACGGAAACGAUGUUAGCUUGCUAACAGGCGUCGAGUGGCGGACGGGUGAGUAACGCGUAAGAAUCUACCAAGUAGUGGGGGAUAGCCCGGAGAAAUCCGGAUUAAUACCGCAUAAUCUCUACGGAGUAAAGAGGGCCUCUAUUUAUAAGCUUUCGCUAUUUGAUGAGCCUGCGUAAGAUUAGCUUGUUGGUGAGGUAAAAGCUCACCAAGGCAACGAUCUUUAGCUGGUCUGAGAGGAUGAUCAGCCACACUGGGACUGAGACACGGCCCAGACUCCUACGGGAGGCAGCAGUGGGGAAUAUUGGACAAUGGGCGCAAGCCUGAUCCAGCAAUACCGCGUGUGUGAAGAAGGCCUGAGGGUUGUAAAGCACUUUCAAUUGUGAAGAAAAGCUAAAGAUUAAUACUCUUUAGCCUUGACGUUAACUUCAGAGGAAGCACCGGCUAACUACGUGCCAGCAGCCGCGGUAAUACGUAGGGUGCAAACGUUGUUCGGAUUGACUGGGUAUAAAGGGUUCGUAGGCGGGCUAAUUAGUCUGAGGUGAAAGCCAGCGGCUCAACCGUUGAAUUGCCUCCGAUACUGUUAGUCUUGAGUCCGUUAGAGGGUGGUGGAAUUCCCGGUGUAGCGGUGAAAUGCGUAAAUAUCAGGAGGAACACCAGUGGCGAAGGCGGCCACCUGGGACGGUACUGACGCUGAGGAACGAAAGCAUGGGUAUCAAACGGGAUUAGAUACCCCGGUAGUCCAUGCUGUAGACGAUGGGCACUAGGUGUUGGGGGACUCUACCCUUUCAGCGCCGUAGCUAACGCAUUAAGUGCCCCACCUGGGGAGUACGAUCGCAAGGUUGAAACUCAAAGAAAUUGACGGGGGCCCGCACAAGCGGUGGAGCAUGUGGUUUAAUUCGAUGCAACGCGAAGAACCUUACCUGGACUUGACAUACUUGGGACAGCUGUGGAAACACAGUUUUCUUCGGACCCUUGUACAGGUGCUGCAUGGCUGUCGUCAGCUCGUGUCGUGAAAUGUUAGGUUAAGUCCUGCAACGAGCGCAACCCUUACCAUUAGUUACCAUCAGGUUAUGCUGGGGACUCUAAUGGGACUGCCGGUGUCAAACCGGAGGAAGGUGGGGACGACGUCAAGUCAUCAUGGCCCUUACGUCCAGGGCUACACACGUGCUACAAUGGUCGGUACAAUGGGCAGCGAUACCGCGAGGUGGAGCGAAUCCCAAAAAGCCGAUCUCAGUUCGGAUUGUACUCUGCAACUCGAGUACAUGAAGUUGGAAUCGCUAGUAAUCGCUCAUCAGAACGGAGCGGUGAAUACGUUCCCGGGCCUUGUACACACCGCCCGUCAAGUCAACCGAGUAGGUUGCACCCCAAGUUGCUGAGCUAACCCUUCGGGGAAGCAGGUGCCCAAGGUGUGAUUUGCGAGGGGGACUAAGUCGUAACAAGGUAACC
RNAcentral lists this ribosomal RNA (1498 nucleotides) under uncultured Latescibacterota bacterium. RNAcentral's name for it is "uncultured Latescibacteria bacterium partial 16S ribosomal RNA". It matches the Rfam family "Bacterial small subunit ribosomal RNA". The record is from RNAcentral. Lineage: Bacteria; Pseudomonadati; Candidatus Latescibacterota.